Molecule: ribosomal RNA, 484 nt
Filed under: uncultured bacterium
Lineage: Bacteria
Description: partial 16S ribosomal RNA
Rfam family: Bacterial small subunit ribosomal RNA
Source: RNAcentral
AUUGAACGCUGGCGGCAUGCUUUACACAUGCAAGUCGAACGGCAGCGCGGGCUUCGGCCUGGCGGCGCGUGGCGAACGGGUGAGUAAUUCAUCGGAACGUGCCCAGUCGUGGGGGAUAGCUCGGCGAAAGCCGGAUUAAUACCGCAUACGACCUGAGGGUGAAAGCGGGGGAUCUUUGGACCUCGCGCUAUUGGAGCGGCCGAUGGCAGAUUAGCUAGUUGGUGGGGUAAAGGCCUACCAAGGCGACGGACUGUAGCUGGUCUGAGAGGACGACCAGCCAACAUGGGACUGGGGCACGGCCCAGACUCCUACGGGAGGCAGCAGUGGGGAAAUUUGGACAAUGGGCGGAAGCCUGAUCCAGCAAUGCCGCGUGUGUGAUGAAGGCCUUCGGGUUGUAAAGCACUUGUGGCGGGAACGAAAAGGACUGUGCCAAUACCACGGUUCGAUGACGGUACCCUCAGAAUAAGCACCGGCUAACUACGUG